AUCGAACGCUGGCGGCAGGCCUAACACAUGCAAGUCGAGCGAGCGGCGGACGGGUGAGUAAUGUCUGGGAAACUGCCCGAUGGAGGGGGAUAACUACUGGAAACGGUAGCUAAUACCGCAUACCAUCGGAUGUGCCCAGAUGGGAUUAGCUAGUAGGGGGGGUAACGGCUCACCUAGGCGACGAUCCCUAGCUGGUCUGAGAGGAUGACCAGCCACACGGGAACUGAGACACGGUCCAGACUCCUACGGGAGGCAGCAGGGGGGAAUAUUGCACAAUGGGCGCAAGCCUGAUGCAGCCAUGCCGCGUGUAUGAAGAAGGCCUUCGGGUUGUAAAGUACUUUCAGCGAGGAGGCGUUACUCGCAGAAGAAGCACCGGCUAACUCCGUGCCAGCAGCCGCGGUAAUUC
This 406-nucleotide ribosomal RNA is filed under the name uncultured bacterium. RNAcentral's name for it is "partial 16S ribosomal RNA". It matches the Rfam family "Bacterial small subunit ribosomal RNA", at positions 29 to 526 of the family's 1533-position model. The record is from RNAcentral.